Phrynosoma platyrhinos (Desert horned lizard) is the source of this 72-nucleotide non-coding RNA. NCBI's taxonomy places the organism in Eukaryota, Metazoa, Chordata, Lepidosauria, Squamata, Phrynosomatidae. The record is from the annotation of a GenBank genome assembly.
GCCAGAGUGGUGUAGUGGUUUGAGCAUUGGGCUACAAAUCUGGAAAUCAGGGUUCAAUUCCCCGCUUGAACA